GACGAACGCUGGCGGCAUGCCUAAUACAUGCAAGUCGAACGCUUUAAUUUCACCGGGUGCUUGCACCCAUCGAAGUUAAGGAGUGGCGGACGGGUGAGUAACGCGUGAGCAACCUGCCUAUCACUGGGGAAUAACGCAUCGAAAGGUGUGCUAAUACCGCAUGAGACCACAAGAUCGCAUGGUCAAGGGGUCAAAGAUUUAUCGGUGAUAGAUGGGCUCGCGUCUGAUUAGCUAGUUGGUGAGGUAACGGCCCACCGAGGCGACGAUCAGUAGCCGACCUGAGAGGGUGAUCGGCCACAUUGGAACUGGAGAAACGGUCCAA
Molecule: ribosomal RNA, 322 nt
Filed under: uncultured bacterium
Lineage: Bacteria
Description: bacterial SSU rRNA
Rfam family: Bacterial small subunit ribosomal RNA
Source: RNAcentral